Molecule: ribosomal RNA, 464 nt
Filed under: uncultured bacterium
Lineage: Bacteria
Description: bacterial SSU rRNA
Rfam family: Bacterial small subunit ribosomal RNA
Source: RNAcentral
CCAGACUCCUACGGGAGGCAGCAGUGGGGAAUAUUGCACAAUGGGGGAAACCCUGAUGCAGCGACGCCGCGUGAGUGAAGAAGUAUUUCGGUAUGUAAAGCUCUAUCAGCAGGGAAGAAAUAGCGACCUUUGGGUCGCCAGACGGUACCUGAUUAAGAAGCCCCGGCUAACUACGUGCCAGCAGCCGCGGUAAUACGUAGGGGGCAAGCGUUAUCCGGAUUUACUGGGUGUAAAGGGAGCGUAGACGACGAUACAAGUCUGAAGUGAAAGCCCGGGGCUCAACCCCGGGACUGCGUUGGAAACUGUGUUGCUGGAGUGCUGGAGAGGCAAGCGGAAUUCCUAGUGUAGCGGUGAAAUGCGUAGAUAUUAGGAGGAACACCAGUGGCGAAGGCGGCUUACUGGACUGUAACUGACGUUGAGGCUCGAAAGCGUGGGGAGCAAACAGGAUUAGAUACCCCCGUACG